Podarcis lilfordi (Lilford's wall lizard) is the source of this 82-nucleotide non-coding RNA. The record is from the annotation of a GenBank genome assembly. NCBI's taxonomy places the organism in Eukaryota, Metazoa, Chordata, Lepidosauria, Squamata, Lacertidae.
GAAGGUGUAGCUCACUGGUAGAGCAUCUGCUUUCCAUGCAGAAGGUCCCAGGUUCAAACCCUAUUAAUAAUAUAUUCCCUCA